RNAcentral lists this unclassified non-coding RNA (360 nucleotides) under Hevea brasiliensis (rubber tree). Lineage: Eukaryota; Viridiplantae; Streptophyta; Magnoliopsida; Malpighiales; Euphorbiaceae. The record is from RNAcentral.
AAAUAAUAUAAAAUUAUUAAUUUAUCAUCUACUAUUCCUUACUUCCAAAUAAAAAUAUUAUCUCCUCAACUCCUCCCAAACAUAUUAUUAACAUUUCCCGGCUCCAACCUAGGAUGGAAAGACCUCAGUGCUCACCCACAACUAUGCUCAUACGAAAUUAAACCAGAGUUCAAACCUCAACACUAGGAAAAAGACUUUUUCCCCCCUCCAAUUAUAAAAACAAUUGGUAUAAAAACAAUUUGGGAGAUUAAAAUUGGCAUUAGAGGCAACAUUUAUGCUUUUGGAGGUCGGUCCACAACAGUCAAUGAGAACUCCCAAGGAAACAGUGAACCACUCUCUACUUUACCCCAGUAGACAGCG